Long non-coding RNA from Bos grunniens (domestic yak), 1652 nucleotides. The record is from Ensembl. NCBI's taxonomy places the organism in Eukaryota, Metazoa, Chordata, Mammalia, Artiodactyla, Bovidae.
GUGGGGAGGGGGCCCAGAGCUUGUCCCAACACCCCUUGUCCUGGCCUGAGGAGCUCUAUGGCCAGCUGAGAUGCAGCCUGGUCCUGCCCCUGUGUCUCACAGCUCCCUCCCAGACCCAUCUUCUCUUCUCUGCUGCCCUGGGGAAGGGGCUGGGACCAGAAGCAAGUAAGACUUGCGGGGGACAGAGGGAGCGGUGACAAAUAGGGACAAGUAAGCGAAGCCAGAAGCAGAGAAGGACUCUUUCUGGAACUCAGGGAGACCUGUGGACAGGAGAGCGCUGCCUUCCCAGCACAGGGGGCCCAGAUGAGGCCUGCCUUGACUUGCUCCUCAGCCCCCUCCCCACCCCAGGCCUCACUUCCCCAAAUACCUCUCUGACAAGCUCCUCAUGCCAGGCCUCAGGCACCCCUGGCUCCUCCCUAAGGAAGGCCCGGUGCUUCUGGGAGGGUCAGCCCCACCACUGUCAGCACAUCCUCUGCUGGGCCCCCGCCCAACUUCCUCCUGUAGGAUCCCAGAGUUCAGGAAAAGGAAGCGCCUCCCCAACUCACACUGGGUUUGUGGCAACCCUCCAGGCCCUCCUCACCCCUGACCAGGGACCCACAGGAAGUCCUCGGCUGUGUCUGAGGGAACACAGAGGGGAAAGGGGCUCUGGGAGAGGCCUCGGGGCUCAGGUGAAGAGGGCAGACAAAGAACUCCUAAGCCCAGCCUGUGUGCCUGCACACAGGGAAGUGGGGAGCCCUGGGAGGGGACAGGAAUGACUCAGGGCUCCCGAAAGAGUAGGCGAGGGGGGGCGUGUGUACUUCUCCUGGCCCUGUUUAUGAAUGUGUGUCUGUGGCUGGCAUGUGUGGGGGGAGUGUGUGUGUCUGUGAAUGAGUGUAGGUGUGUCAUAGUCAAUGAGCGCCUUAAGCGGGGAUGCAGGCGGGGGUCGGAUGUUGGGAGAAGUGACCGGGAGGCCAGGCAUGAUCAGCCUGGCUGCAGUACGGAAUGAUCUGGGAAAUUCUGGAGGACUCUGGCUAACUCCUGACAAGCCAACCCUGGAAGCAGGGUAUAGGGUAAGUCAGGGGCUUUGGAUGGGUUCAGUAUUUAGCUUGAAGCCUCACAUCUGGAGAGAAGGUUCAGGCUGCUGGGAACCUGAGCCUACGUUUUUGGCUACUGGAGGAAGAGGUGGUGAAUGUGGAAAGGACAGGAAAAAAGGUUUCUUGCUUGCUGUGAGCUUUGAGAAGCAGCAGCAGCAGCUCCCAUUUUGCCCCACUGUAGGGAGAAGAGGACUGAAGGGUGAACUCCUCCCAGAAGAGCCAGCAGAGGCUCUGUACUCCUUCCUUUCAAAGAAAGGGAUUCUGACUGGCUUUCUACCUCCUUUUGCUGCUGUUUUCCCUUCCAGUCUCUCCUGCUAGGCUUUUACAGUCCAGAACACUGGCUCUUUUCUGAGCCAUGUGCGACAAUCUACCUGCCCUUUAGAUAUGAAGGCUACCCAGCUGGGACCCCACUAAUCCAGACUGUACAGGUUCUCUUCCAAAACUCUUAGAAGACCAGGCAAAAGACUGGAGGCUGGGCUUAAAUGUAGUCGGUUGCCUGAGGUCUUAAUGACCAUGCACUGGGCCAUUAGCUGGACCUGAAACUGACUGGCAGACCUCUCACUGGAAAGGGUAAUGGGC